AUGAUUAGAUUGCUUGUUGGUUUGUGCGGUGCAGAAACAGAAACUUUGGCUGUCGUGAAUUUUCAUUUUUUACUGGAAUAUCAAAUGUUUCUGAAACUUUUUGCACAGUCUUUCUAUACAAAUUUUUUAUGUUUUCCCAAUUUGGUAGAAUUUUUGGAGUACCAUAAGUAUGGUGGAUGUUCAGAAUGCUACAGACUGUCCUGUUUAAGACAUAUUCUAUUUUUGAUGCAUUGUUUGGCUUGUUUUGAUGAAACUAUCGAUUUGUAUUGGUGGUAUGAGCCAUGGAAAAGUUAUAUUACAAUAGCUACAGUUCAAAAACAAAAUAUUAAUUGGUUUGCAACAGUACUUAGAGUAGUGUUUUGCUUUAUUAUACUAACGGAUCUUACCAAGCUUUCUGUUGAGUUUUGUAUGGAUGAAGUGAUCAAAGAUCGAGGAGGUCUCGAUAUGAGGAGAAGGAGGAGAGUAAAGAGCUCAAGCUUGGGGAUUUCCAAGGCACCCCAAGUAAAUAUUCAAGGAGACUCAAGCGUCUAA
Molecule: ribosomal RNA, 531 nt
Filed under: Triticum aestivum (bread wheat)
Lineage: Eukaryota; Viridiplantae; Streptophyta; Magnoliopsida; Poales; Poaceae
Description: partial small subunit ribosomal RNA
Source: RNAcentral